Dromaius novaehollandiae (emu) is the source of this 1413-nucleotide long non-coding RNA. RefSeq lists it as uncharacterized. The transcript has 3 exons. The record is from RefSeq and is a predicted model, not a curated record. NCBI's taxonomy places the organism in Eukaryota, Metazoa, Chordata, Aves, Casuariiformes, Dromaiidae.
AAACUGCUUUUGCUCUCCAGGCUGCUCUGCUCUCUCUUUGCAGCCUGAUGCUGGGAUCGUGGUUGAAAAAUCACCCCAGCUGGCUCAAAACUAUUUAACAGUUCACAGCAAGACAACGCUUUUCUGUGCUUUGCCUUACACAAGUACUGUGUCCAUUUGAACCUGCCUGUAGAGUCUUAGCGGAGAGAAACUAAUUGGUCAGCUCUGUAUCUAAGCAGGGUAACAGCUGAAUAUUUUUGCAGACUGUGUCAUGAGGUCUUUAAUCACAGCUUAUUAAACUAAUCUCCAAAUGUUGUCCAGAGGACAGUACUCCAGUGGCACAGUGCUCCCUGCCAGCUGUUAGGGAACGGUCACAGCGGGCUCAGGCAGAAGCCUGCUGCCCUGUUCAAUUCCUUGGGGCACAGGCAAAUGAGGUGCACGGCGGUGGAUUACGCGUGUGCUAUCUGCAUGACAAAAAUAGCAGCUCUGACCACCCUAAAUACUAAAAGUGUUGCGUCUUUCUGUGUCAUAUGAGAAUUGCUAUGACUGAUAUCCAUUAGGCGAUGGAGUACUGACUGUUUCAGCCUCUUCUCUUCCUCGUUAAGCAGCAGUGUGAAUGUGUAACGUGCAGGUGUCACCAAGCCCUCUGGUAACGGAAAUGUCUGUGAGUAACAGGGGUACGAUUACAGUUACAGCGUGUGCAAUGCUACAUAACAGCCUGUUUUUUCACCGUAGAGCGCUUAGGCUCUUACUAAAGCUGCGUAUUUUCCUCCUCUCGCAGAGGUGGGCGGUUGUAUUUGACUCAAUUUGAAUGGGCGUCGAUUUACCAUAGGGGUUGCUGUGUCCAGUCCAAUCGUGACUGAACUGAAAUAUAAAUCUUUGACAUUCAAUUGUGAUUACAGAUGUCAAAUGCUUGUGACUCUCGUCUCCUGUGCAGGUGACUCUCUCCCAGCAUGUCGUAAUCGAAGUAUGAACCCUCUUCAUUUACAAGAUAACCCUGGAAUAGCUUCAAAAUGAUUAACGCCUUUCCUCCCCGCUGUCUCCCCUCUCCUCGCCCAAGUCAUUUCCCAGCAUAAUUUAUGGGGUGAGCGGGAGCCGAUGAAACCGUGGCUGUGAGGACCGACUCUUGAUGCCAGUGCUGAUGCAGAUACCUGUUGAACUGCAGUUUUAGUGCACGCUUGGGGACUUCCCUGCGAGUAGCUUGCGGAGCUGCUUCGGGAGUCCUCGCGGCCAUGCCUUCCUGCUUGUCGCAGGCGUGCUCUGGCGGAGGCGGCGUUCAGCGACGCACUUGACUUUCUCCUGGUAACUUGGUGGUGUUGGCUGCUGUUAAUGCUUCGUUCUUCUGAUGUUGAGCUCUUAAAGAAGCGAUUGGCACCAGUUGUUCAGCAUAAUGGCAAAUAAAGUUCUCUCUUGUCUGGGCACCUCCUCAAUAAA